Long non-coding RNA from Sinocyclocheilus anshuiensis, 1659 nucleotides. RefSeq lists it as uncharacterized. Lineage: Eukaryota; Metazoa; Chordata; Actinopteri; Cypriniformes; Cyprinidae. The record is from RefSeq and is a predicted model, not a curated record. The transcript is spliced from 3 exons.
CAUGUAUUUUCAGAUUUUAUUUUAUUUAAAAACCGUACAAAGAGUAUAAAACAAUAAAAAAGGCCACUUAAAAGAGUAUAAGACAAUAGGAGUCAAUGGGAAGUCCCCACCAUGAUAGAAAAACAAACCUUUUUUGUCUGAAAACAUCUUUUGUGUAAGAGCACCAUGUGUGUCCAUGUGGGUGGGUUAGCUGUGGUAUUGUGUGUGCAAGUUUGGCCAAAGAAAAGGAAAACAAAUGGCAUAUAAUUCAUCGUGGAAGUUAUUGGCAUGGGCACAAAUGCACAAGUUAGCAAAUAAAUGAUUCAAAAAAAGGCACUUUAAUUGUUGAAAAUGACACCUCGAACUUAUGUUUUAAGGACACUGUAAAAUUAUACAAUAAAGGGAGAGCGUGAGAGAUAUCAGUACAUUCUUACCAAGAUGGAGACGCAACAUUGGUAAACAGUGCAUAGCAUCUUUUUUAAAUGGAAAACAGUCCCACAGAUCGGUGGUCAGAGAAUUUAACAAUCACAAAGAAAAAAAACAAACUCUCAGUGGAAAAGGAAAUACAAUAGUCCUUUUGUUUCAACUGAAAGUUCAUGUUGCUCACUGGAUUUCACUGUGUUCUGCCCCGCUCAAGUUUUUCACAGCAGUCACGUAAAGUCUCCGCAAAGCUCGGUGAGAUUUAAAGUAUGCAAACCAUCACGUCCAUGUUUUAGAAACCAGUCAAGCAUUUAAUUAAAAAACACACUCACUUAUAUACGCACCUAACAUACAUUUGUCUUCUGUGUUCUUUGUGGUUCAGAGGGCAAGCCCUGCUGUAAUCCGUCUAGAGCCGCUGGAAUUCAGCCAUAUUUCUCUUUCCUGGCCACCCCUCACCCCACCAAGAGCCCUAUGUUGUACAGAUAGGUUGAACCAACCAACCACACAGAUGUACAGAGGACAGAAGAGAUGGAUGUACAACUAAGAAGAGGCACUUGGAGAGUGUUUGUAUGUGUGUGCAGAAACGAAGCAUUAUAUGGCCGCGACAUUUCAACAAACCAUGUAGCGUAGUGUUUAUUUAACCUUUCAUAUGGCUGGCACCACGUGAGCUGGGAAGCACGUGUGUCUGUGUGUCCCUCCCUGACAGUACUUCCUCCUGCACCCCGGACUAGACAGCAGAGGGAGACUUGUAAAGAUGAUUUGUAUCUGAGACAAAAUGUAUAUGUGUGUUGUAUCUUAUCGCUGUGUUUUGUAAGCGUGGAAGCCAUAAAUACUCAAGAGAAUGAGUGCUCUUAAAUGCAACAAGCUGAAUUCCUCUGUGUUUAUGUGUGCAUGUGAACUCUUUUAGGUCCUUUUCUUGUCCGGGCAUGUUGCUCCGCUGGUCCGACAGGACGGGGAGAAUUCCACAGUCUUGCAAACUGCCAGGAUGCUUCUUUGAGGCUGGUAGAGCUGCAUACUUCUCAUCUUUCUUUCCUCUACAUUGCCGCUGUCAUCAUUCUCUUCUCAUAUCUCUGUUUUUAAAACUGUUUUAGAUCCGCUGUUCACAAAAUAUUCCCCUCCAGCGGACAAGAGCGAGUUCACACGUUAAACCCUAUACACCAUUGGCACAGAUUCACUUUGUGUCCAGACGAAACGCUCCGAAGUAGCUAGAAGAGUCCUCGCCGUACACCAUUGUGGGAGAUGAGACGGACACGAAGACCU